AACGCUUAACGUUGCGCGUGCAGUGGGUACGGGCUGACUAGAGUGCAGUAGGGGAGUCUGGAAUUCCUGGUGUAGCGGUGAAAUGCGCAGAUAUCAGGAGGAACACCGGUGGCGAAGGCGGGACUCUGGGCUGUAACUGACACUGAGGAGCGAAAGCAUGGGGAGCGAACAGGAUUAGAUACCCUGGUAGUCCAUGCCGUAAACGUUGGGCACUAGGUGUGGGGGACAUUCCACGUUCUCCGCGCCGUAGCCAACGCAUUAAGUGCCCCGCCUGGGGAGUACGGUCGCAAGGCUAAAACUCAAAGGAAUUGACGGGGGCCCGCACAAGCGGCGGAGCAUGCGGAUUAAUUCGAUGCAACGCGAAGAACCUUACCAAGGCUUGACAUACACCAGACCGUUCUGGAAACAGUUCCUCCCCUUUGGGGUUGGUGUACAGGUGGUGCAUGGUUGUCGUCAGCUCGUGUCGUGAGAUGUUGGGUUAAGUCCCGCAACGAGCGCAACCCUCGUUCUAUGUUGCCAGCACGUAAUGGUGGGAACUCAUAGGAGACUGCCGGGGUCAACUCGGAGGAAGGUGGGGAUGACGUCAAAUCAUCAUGCCCUUUAUGUCUUGGGCUUCACGCAUGCUACAAUGGCUGGUACAGAGAGAUGCGAGACCGCGAGGUUUUAGCGAAUCCCUUAAAGCCAGUCUCAGUUCGGAU
Molecule: ribosomal RNA, 698 nt
Filed under: uncultured bacterium
Lineage: Bacteria
Description: bacterial SSU rRNA
Rfam family: Bacterial small subunit ribosomal RNA
Source: RNAcentral